CAGCAUAGCUGCGCUGCUGCUCUGCUGUUUUAGUGUAGCACAUACCUAGGUUAAGUUAAUGCUAUAGCACCAAUAUUCUAUUGUUUAGAUUUAUCUAUAGCCUGCAGAUAACCUGGCAUUUAACAGUUCAAUUGGAAUUGUGAUAACGGUUGGGAGGACGUUCAUGGUAUAUUGCAAAUAGAGACUAACAGAUCAAGAUAUGGGUUUGCCGAGUUUAAAAUUGAUUACCGGUGUGGGUUUGGUCGUUUACUUCAUGGUGUGGCUGACGAAGAAGUUGAAUGAACUCCCAAGUCCUCCCACUCCAGCUCCAUUGGUGACCACGACGUCGACGGCGGCGCCAGCGGCUCACAGAUUCAACCACAAUCGUCACAUCGGCCUACGUAAAGGAUGAACUUUGUCUCGCGAGUAUCUUAUAUGUAAAUACACGAUAUUGUUGUUGUUUCAAUAAAUAAAUGUUACACAUUAAGAAUUUGUAAGUCAC
Long non-coding RNA from Spodoptera frugiperda (fall armyworm), 481 nucleotides. RefSeq lists it as uncharacterized. The record is from RefSeq and is a predicted model, not a curated record. The transcript is spliced from 2 exons. NCBI's taxonomy places the organism in Eukaryota, Metazoa, Arthropoda, Insecta, Lepidoptera, Noctuidae.